GGGGAAUUUUCCGCAAUGGGCGCAAGCCUGACGGAGCAACGCCGCGUGAGGGAUGAAGGCCUCUGGGCUGUAAACCUCUUUUCUCAAGGAAGAAGAUCUGACGGUACUUGAGGAAUAAGCCACGGCUAAUUCCGUGCCAGCAGCCGCGGUAAUACGGGAGUGGCAAGCGUUAUCCGGAAUUAUUGGGCGUAAAGCGUCCGCAGGCGGCCUUGAAAGUCUGUUGUUAAAACGUGGAGCUCAACUCCAUUUCGGCAAUGGAAACUACAAGGCUAGAGUGUGGUAGGGGCAGAGGGAAUUCCCGGUGUAGCGGUGAAAUGCGUAGAUAUCGGGAAGAACACCAGUGGCGAAGGCGCUCUGCUGGGCCAUAACUGACGCUCGUGGACGAAAGCCAGGGGAGCGAAAGGGAUUAGAUACCCCUGUAGUC
Molecule: ribosomal RNA, 424 nt
Filed under: uncultured cyanobacterium
Lineage: Bacteria; Bacillati; Cyanobacteriota
Description: bacterial SSU rRNA
Rfam family: Bacterial small subunit ribosomal RNA
Source: RNAcentral